GACGAACGCUGGCGGCGUGCUUAACACAUGCAAGUCGAACGGAAAGGCCCUGCUUUUGUGGGGUGCUCGAGUGGCGAACGGGUGAGUAACACGUGGGUAACCUGCCCUUGACUUUGGGAUAACUUCAGGAAACUGGGGCUAAUACCGGAUAGGAGCUCCUGCUGCAUGGUGGGGGUUGGAAUGUUUCGGCGGUUGGGGAUGGACUCGCGGCUUAUCAGCUUGUUGGUGGGGUAGUGGCUUACCAAGGCUUUGACGGGUAGCCGGCCUGAGAGGGUGACCGGCCACAUUGGGACUGAGAUACGGCCCAGACUCCUACGGGAGGCAGCAGUGGGGAAUAUUGCACAAUGGGCGGAAGCCUGAUGCAGCAACGCCGCGUGCGGGAUGACGGCCUUCGGGUUGUAAACCGCUUUCGCCUGUGACGAAGCGUGAGUGACGGUAAUGGGUAAAGAAGCACCGGCUAACUACGUG
This 468-nucleotide ribosomal RNA is filed under the name uncultured bacterium. RNAcentral describes it as "partial 16S ribosomal RNA". It matches the Rfam family "Bacterial small subunit ribosomal RNA", at positions 28 to 507 of the family's 1533-position model. The record is from RNAcentral.